GGGACGAAGGCAUGGGUAGCGAAGAGGAUUAGAUACCCUCGUAGUCCAUGCCGUAAACGAUGUGUGUUAGACGUUGGAAAUUUAUUUUCAGUGUCGCAGGGAAACCGAUAAACACACCGCCUGGGGAGUACGACCGCAAGGUUAAAACUCAAAUGAAUUGACGGGGACCCGCACAAGUAGUGGAGCAUGUGGUUUAAUUCGAAGAUACGCGCAGAACCUUACCAACACUUGACAUGUUCGUCGCGACUCUAAGAGAUUAGAGUUUUCGGUUCGGCCGGACGAAACACAGGUGCUGCAUGGCUGUCGUCAGCUCGUGUCGUGAGAUGUUGGGUUAAGUCCCGCAACGAGCGCAACCCUCACUUUUAGUUGCCAUCAUUAAGUUGGGCACUCUGAAAGAACUGCCAGUGAUAAGCUGGAGGAAGGUGGGGAUGACGUCAAGUCCUCAUGGCCCUUACGUGUUGGGCUACACACGUGCUACAAUGGUAUCUACAACAGGAAGCAAGACUGCGAAGUUAAGCAAAUCCCUAAAAGAUACCUCAGUUCGGAUUGCACUCUGCAACUCGAGUGCAUGAAGCUGGAAUUACUAGUAAUCGUGGAUCAGCGUGCCACGGUGAAUGCGUUCCCGGGUCUUGUACACACCGCCCGUCACACCAUGGGAGUUGGUUCUACCUUAAGGCAAGGUUUCAAACCCUUGACCACGGUAUAGUCAGCGACUGGGGUGAAGUCGUAACAAGGUAA
This 738-nucleotide ribosomal RNA is filed under the name uncultured Alphaproteobacteria bacterium. RNAcentral describes it as "bacterial SSU rRNA". It matches the Rfam family "Bacterial small subunit ribosomal RNA", at positions 750 to 1499 of the family's 1533-position model. The record is from RNAcentral. Lineage: Bacteria; Pseudomonadati; Pseudomonadota; Alphaproteobacteria.